UGGUAGUGUAUUGGACAACCAUGGCAGUCACGGGUAACGGAGAAUUAGGGUUCGAUUCCGGAGAGGGAGCCUGAGAAACGGCUACCACAUCUACGGAAGGCAGCAGGCGCGUAAAUUACCCAAUCCCGAUUCGGGGAGGUAGUGACAAGAAAUAACAACUCGGGCGGCGCAAGCCGUUGCGAGAUUGCAAUGGGUACAAUUUAAAACACUUAACGAGUAACAAUUGGAGGGCAAGUCUGGUGCCAGCAGCCGCGGUAAUUCCAGCUCCAAUAGCGUAUAUUAAAGUUGUUGCAGUUAAAAAGCUCGUAGUCGAAGUUCUGGCUGGUCCUGUUUCCGGCUUCGGUCGACUCAGGACCUAGUCAUCCGUCGGAGAACCCUUGUCGUCCUUUACUGGUCGCUUGGGGGAACUGACCCUUUACUUUGAAAAAAUUAGAGUGUUUCAGGCAGGCUCUCGCCCGAAUACUCCAGCAUGGAAUAAUGGAAUAGGACUUUCUUCUAUUUUGUUGGUUAUUAGUGGAAAGUAAUGAUUAAUAGGGACAGUUGGGGGCAUUCGUACUUAAUUGUCAGAGGUGAAAUUCUUGGAUUUAUUAAAGACGAACUAAUGCGAAAGCAUUUGCCAAGGAUGUUUUC
RNAcentral lists this ribosomal RNA (630 nucleotides) under uncultured ciliate. RNAcentral's name for it is "SSU rRNA". It matches the Rfam family "Eukaryotic small subunit ribosomal RNA", at positions 326 to 971 of the family's 1831-position model. The record is from RNAcentral. Lineage: Eukaryota; Ciliophora.